This 1068-nucleotide long non-coding RNA is filed under the name Macaca mulatta (Rhesus monkey). RNAcentral's name for it is "lncRNA (ENSMMUG00000049529.1)". The record is from RNAcentral. Lineage: Eukaryota; Metazoa; Chordata; Mammalia; Primates; Cercopithecidae.
GCCACACCAAUUUAAUUUUAUCUAUGGUAGAGUGAUGAGCCUGGCAGAAGAGGGCAAAGAAAUAUCUACAACCGGACUUCAAUAAGGUUUUCUAUUUUUAUUUAAAAUAUUCCAUUUCCUGGCAUUUCAGCAUCAACCUUCUGAGAGGAUGCUAUCUGAACAGCAGUUGGAGUCUUGCUAUGUCACCCAGGCUGGAGUGCAGUGGCAUGAUCUCGGCUCAUUACAAACUCUGUCUCCUGGGUUCAAGCAAUUCUCCUGCCACAGCCUCCCAAGUAACUGGGACUACAGGAAUAUUGAUCUCAGCGUUACUUUGACCAUUAAUGAAUUAUGAUGGCAAUAAGCAAAGAUGCGCACCUCUAGCCUCCAGGGAGCUUAAUCUUCUGCUACAACGUUUGCAUUUAGACAGGGUGUCUCUCUGCUGCUCAGGCUGGAGCGCAGUGGUGCGAUCACAGCUCACUGCAGCCUCGACUUCCUGGGCUCCAGUGACCCUCUCGCCUGAAACCGUACUCCCCCUCAAGCAGCUGAGACUACAGGCAGUGUUUAAGAAGGAUCCAGAAAUACUUCAAGCGAUGCCAGUGGUAGUGUUGCCUCCUCAGAAGACUGCUUUCAGGGGAACAGUAUACAUCUGCCCUGUAAAUUCUGGAUGGUAAAUGUGACAAAACUCUCUCCUUGACCCAGCUCUAGUGAGACUGCUCUAAGCCCUCUUCUCAACAUGGCUCAAGCGUGGGCUUCAGUGUACAUUUGGUUGGGCCUGCAUUGCUCAGUUUUAGCAAGAGUCCGGUUAAGUUAAAGAGAAUCUCACACCUUUGAUAUCAGAUUCUUCCAUAUCUGAUCAAAUUCCUCAUCCCUACCUUCAAUAUCUGAUCAUUCUGCCCUGUCUGCACAAGAAUCUCCCCUCACCCUUGGUGUCUCCUUUUAGUAAUUUUCCAUCCACGAGUCUCUCCCACUCUUCAAGCCUACUCCUUGCUGUAACUCCCUACCCCUCCUUGUCUUAUUUGCAGCUGAACUCUGUUCUACACUGAGGUCUCUUUUUCCUGAUUGCAAUAGUUCCUGAAUAAAAUCUGUUUU